RNAcentral lists this unclassified non-coding RNA (1417 nucleotides) under Hevea brasiliensis (rubber tree). Lineage: Eukaryota; Viridiplantae; Streptophyta; Magnoliopsida; Malpighiales; Euphorbiaceae. The record is from RNAcentral.
GUGGUCUCAACCCUAGAAUUAUACUCGUCUCUCGAGCUAUAAUAGCAUCAGCUUAUGCAUCGAUUUCUAAAAUCGUAUCCGUAUAAAUAAAUCAUCAUCCCAAAUGGACACACAUGAAAUUAAAAAUGUCUAUUUAAUGAAUCACUGAAAUACAUCCACAUUGCUAAUGCAUAUUAAAAAAGUGCACAUAAGAGAAAUUAAAAAUACAAAAUACAAAUGCAUCAAUUACUUUUUCUUCCCUGCUUUCCCUUCCUUUAAUCUUAUAACUUCAUUGGCAUACCUCACACCUUUACCUUUAUAUGGCUCAGGAGGCCUCCAUUUCCUAACCGAAGCAGCAAACUGGCCAAUGUUACACUUGUCAUAUCCACUAAUAAUGAUCCUCGUGUUCUCUUCCACCUUCACUUUUAGGUCACCAGGUAUUUCCAUUCUAACUGGAUGAGAAAAUCCCAGACUUAACACCAAGUCUUUUCCUUCUACUGUUGCACGAUACCCAACGCCAACUAGCUGAAGUCUCUUCUCAAACCCUUUUGAUACUCCCACCACCAUGUUGUCUGUAAGUGUCCUGAAUGCAUUAAAAUUGAUAUUGGGUGUAAGCAAAAAAGGUACAUACCUAGAAUACAGAAUAUUUUUGCUAAGGGUGAUGCUCAUGUUUACUCAAUUCUCCUGUCCAUGAAAAAUAUAAUUCACAUAUAAAUGAAAAAGAAACGAUAUUUCAAACAAAAGGAAUCAUUAUUAACACGCAUCAAAUAACUGCCAGUAUUUCUUUUUGAAGUAUCUACUGUUACUUUAGACCAACAUCUUUAAUGAUGUCUCUUCAUAGCUCGAAGCAUCUUAAAUGCACACUCAAUUGCAAUGAUUAGUAUAUGUCAAAAUCAUAAUGAAGUAGAACUCUUUCUUAGUCCUCCACUCCCUUGUCAAACUGUUUUAGUAACAGAUUCAACCAGUUCAGAGGUUCCUCAUAAAAGUGCUAAAAGUUCUUGGAGAUGAAGUAUUAGAAGAAAAAAUGAAAUAAGUUAUUAGUCUUACAGAGAACUUAAGUAUAAUAAUUUUAAAAAUUAAGAGAGAUGAGGCAAAGAUAAUAUCAAGAAAAUGAGAUGGAAGAGUUUACCUGAAAAGUCCAUGCAUUUGGUUGGCUCUUCUUGUGUCCAAUGCCUUUUUAACACGAAUAGUUCCAUUCUCAUCUCUCUCAAGCUUCACCUCUCGAGGAUAAGUUCUUGAAAGUUCCCCCAAAGGACCCUUCACUUUUAGAUCUCGGCCAUCCAGUGUGAUUGUCACAUUGGAAGGCACUGAAAUUGGUUGCUUCCCGAUUCGUGACUCCUUACAUUCUAUAGUCUUCCUAAGGAACCCAAUACGGGUUAUAGGAACAAUUGGUACACAAAUUCCGUUUCUCUCACCCAAAAAUACAGAUCUCAGAUUG